GGAGAAUGAGGUGCCAGAGCCUGGGGAGCUCUAGUCCAAGCCCAGAGCCCCCCGGUGAGCAUCUGGCUGGGCUGGGGUAAGUGAGGCCUGAUGGCAGCAACCCCUUGCCCGCCCAGUGCCCCCUCUGAUCCAGCCCUUCGAGUUCCCACCGGCCUCCAUCGGUCAGCUGCUCUACAUCCCCUGUGUGGUGUCUUCGGGGGACAUGCCCAUCCGCAUCACCUGGAGGAAGGACGGACAGGUGAUCAUCUCAGGCUCGGGCGUGACCAUUGAGAGCAAGGAGUUCAUGAGCUCCCUGCAGAUCUCCAGUGUCUCCCUCAAGCACAACGGCAACUACACAUGCAUCGCCAGC
RNAcentral lists this long non-coding RNA (349 nucleotides) under Marmota monax (woodchuck). Lineage: Eukaryota; Metazoa; Chordata; Mammalia; Rodentia; Sciuridae. The record is from RNAcentral.